This is a non-coding RNA of Armillaria nabsnona, 98 nucleotides long. NCBI's taxonomy places the organism in Eukaryota, Fungi, Basidiomycota, Agaricomycetes, Agaricales, Physalacriaceae. The record is from the annotation of a GenBank genome assembly.
UGCCCCAUGGCUGAGUUGGUUACAGCGUCCGACUGUUAUAACUUAUAGUGAUCUGCAGGUCAAUCGGAAGGUCGAGAGUUCGAGCCUCUCUGGGGCAG